Long non-coding RNA from Chroicocephalus ridibundus (black-headed gull), 1979 nucleotides. RefSeq lists it as uncharacterized. Lineage: Eukaryota; Metazoa; Chordata; Aves; Charadriiformes; Laridae. The transcript is spliced from 4 exons. The record is from RefSeq and is a predicted model, not a curated record.
UUCGUACAGACACAUCGCCCGGGCUUUGAUAGCCGCGGGCCCGACGCUGACUCAGAGCGAGUAAACUUUCUGUGGCUAUCUGCUUGUUUGUGCUGUUCUUCACAAGCGAUAAGAAGGAAUUCCUCUGUGCUAAAUCUGGAUGGUCGGCCUUCAUUAGCAAUAAAAAAAGGGAAGGAGGUGCAGCACUGGAAGAGGUUACCCAGAGAGGUUAUGGAAGCUCCAUCUCUCAGGGUUUUCAGGACAAAGUCACAGCUGACCUGAUGUAAUGUUGAUGAUAGCCGAAGGGUUCACUAGGUGACCUCCAGAGGACCCUUCCAACCAAUGUAUCUGUGAUUCUAAGUCAGAACAGAUAAAUGAGUUACUGGUACCAAGUGGGAAAGAUCAUCAGCUCACAGAGUCAAGAACUCCUGCAGCUCUCUCUUAAAAAGUAAUGAGAAUGGAUGAGAAGCCAUCCUGAGACAUGCUGCUGUAAUUGUUAUAGGUUAAGAGCAAUGAGAGUGGUCACCAGGACAGCCCCUCUUAUCUUGUAAUCUAAAGCCCUGAAGAUACUUAUUUUGCUGCACUGAGUCCCUGCCUCAGUAAUGUUUAUCUUUUGGCCUGAGAAAAAGUCAUCCGAAGCCUUUAUUCUUCAUAUUAGCUAACACUGCAUCUGAAAAAACAGUAUUACAUCCAUUAGCUACAGUCUGAGUUUGGGUGUACCAACAUCGUUUUCUAGCAAAGACUUGUCAAUGCUGAAAUUAUUAACCCCAUGGGUGAAAAUGCCCUCAAAUGACUGUGGUAACCUUGUGAUUUCAGUACAUGCAGUCCUGCGGCUCUGCUCACUAACUGCACACUGAGGGUGAAUACUACAACUGGCUUUUACGUGGAAUUUAGGCAACUCCUAGGUGCAGCCCAUUGCAAAACCCCUUUCUGAUAGGAGCCAAUGAGAACAAGCUACAACUGCCUUGUGCAAAUUUUUUGCAAUCUGCUAUUGCAUGAACAGUUGGGAAGGUUGAAACCAGAACGAAAGAGCACUCGGGUUUUGCUCCGAUUGCGCUUCCCCGUGUGAGUGCUAGGCAUCUCUCUCUCUUCUGGGGAAUUCUGUGCUCGAUCUCCAUCAUAUAACUUCGGAGCUUGCAACGGGAUCCCGUGCAAAACAGCUGUGCGGAUUGACGGCAGCUAUCUUCUUACAUUUCCCCGACACCGUGUACGGUUUCAGUGCAAGGAGCCAGGGAGCGCAGCGUUGUGAGGUGGUGCCCGGCUUUUGCAAACAAAGGGGAUGGAGGACUCUGUGCCACCUGCUCUGUCACUUGAACAAAUGUUAGGAGUAAAACAAGCUACAAACCGCUAACUGUUUGUUGGAUGAUAACUUUACGCAGCAGCAAUUCCAUCGAUCAUCAAGGUCGGCUUUUUUGCUUUUGUUUCUCAAACGAACCAGUCUCUCGGUUCCAUGCUCCUAUAGGCAAGAUGGUAAAACAGCCAAAGAUGUUAACUGCUUGGUGCCCUGACAGUGAACAGCAUUGCACGCUCUUAUUCGGGGACUGCCAGAGGUGUCCAGAUGUUUCUGCGUUGAACAGCGUGGCACAACACCUCUGCAGGAAUUGGCAGGCAAGAGUGUUUGCUUCUUGACUUGGAUUGAAAGCUUUGGAGUCGGCAAUGUCAGGAAAACAUUGCUACUGCCCGCAAACCAGGGAGCAUCCUGUCGUGUCCAUACGCAUAAAGCUGCACUGUUCGGAAGAAGCGAGAUUGUCUUUCCUUACAGCUCCGACGCUGCACCGCUCUCGACACAGCCUGCUUUUCCCCCCAUUUACCUGGGCGGCUGCUGCUGCUGUUUCUGCUGCUGCUGGGGCUGCUGCAGUCUGGCUGCCUGCGCUUCACCCCUGCUCGGCUGACUCGAAACUCACUCGUCUGCACAUUGCUAAGGAAGAAGAGUGAUGGAGCCGCGUUUUUUCUGUUGGUUCUGGAAGCAAAGGGUUGCGAUGUGUGAUGAAUUUGGGGUU